This 200-nucleotide unclassified non-coding RNA is filed under the name Pleosporales sp. Its description in RNAcentral is "partial internal transcribed spacer 2". The record is from RNAcentral. Lineage: Eukaryota; Fungi; Ascomycota; Dothideomycetes; Pleosporales.
UUAAGUUCAGCGGGUAUCCCUACCUGAUUCGAGGUCAAACUGGGGGGGUUCUUGCUGGACGCGAGCCCGCCGGGAGCCUUCAGAAGCGCAAUGUGCUGCGCGAGAAGCCGGCGAUGCCGCUGCCAAUGGAUUUGGGGCGAGUCCUCGCGGGAAGCGGGGACAGACGCUCAACACCAAGCGUAGCUUGAGGGUGUAAAUGA